Molecule: ribosomal RNA, 301 nt
Filed under: uncultured bacterium
Lineage: Bacteria
Description: partial 16S ribosomal RNA
Rfam family: Bacterial small subunit ribosomal RNA
Source: RNAcentral
CAGUCGCCGCGGGAAUACGUAGGUGGCAAGCGUUGUCUGGAAUUAUUGGGCGUAAAGCGCGCGCAGGCGGAUAGGUCAGUCUGUCUUAAAAGUUCGGGGCUUAACCCCGUGAUGGGAUGGAAACUGCCAAUCUAGAGUAUCGGAGAGGAAAGUGGAAUUCCUAGUGUAGCGGUGAAAUGCGUAGAUAUGUGUCGGAACACCCAUGGCGAAAGCACCCUUCUGGACGCAAAUUGACGCUCAGGCUCGAAAGCCAAGGUAGCGAACAGGAUUAGAUACCCCCGUAGUCCCUGUCUCUUAUACC